AUCCCUUUCUCGGCCUUUUGGCUAAGAUCAAGUGUAGUAUCUGUUCUUAUCAGUUUAAUAUCUGAUACGUGAGCCAAUGGCUCACAUGAUAUUAACUCAAUUUUUUUAGGGUAAAGAUUCACUGAUGUACCUUGCUGCUUGGGUCUUUGAGUGUCGCCAUGGCUUUGAACUAUUGCCUUGGCCUGGAACACCCCAC
Molecule: small nuclear RNA, 196 nt
Filed under: Ipomoea nil (Japanese morning glory)
Lineage: Eukaryota; Viridiplantae; Streptophyta; Magnoliopsida; Solanales; Convolvulaceae
Description: U2 spliceosomal RNA
Rfam family: U2 spliceosomal RNA
About the family: U2 is a small nuclear RNA (snRNA) component of the spliceosome (involved in pre-mRNA splicing).
Source: Rfam by way of RNAcentral